Molecule: long non-coding RNA, 889 nt
Filed under: Rattus norvegicus (Norway rat)
Lineage: Eukaryota; Metazoa; Chordata; Mammalia; Rodentia; Muridae
Description: long non-coding RNA NONRATT020151
Rfam family: tRNA (bases 89-156)
Source: RNAcentral
UUAUCACCCUGUACAAAGCUCAAGUGGAUCAAGGACCUCCACAUCAAACCAGAUACACCCAAACUAAUAGAAGAAAAAGUAGGGGGUUGGGGAUUUAGCUCAGUGGUAGAGCGCUUGCCUAACAAGCACAAGACCCUGGGUUCGGUCCCCAGCUCGGAAAAAAAAAGAAAAAAAAAUAAGAAGAAAAAGUAGGGUAGAGCCUCAAACACAUGGGCACAGGAGAAAAUUUCCUGAACAUAAUACCAAUGGUUUAUGCUCUAAGAUCAAGAAUUGACAAAUGGAACUUCAUAAAAUUGCAAAACUUCUGUAAGGCAAAGGACACCGUCAUUCAGACAAAAUUGCAACCAACAGAUUGAGAAAAGAUGUUUAGACUCUAGAGAAUCUAGGUAAAAUAACCCUUUUAAAAAUUGGGGUACAGAGCUAAACAAAGAAUUCUAAGGUGAGGAAUAUUGAAUACCUGAGAAGCACCUAAAGAAAUGUUCAAAAUCCUUAGUCAUCAGGGAAACACAAAUUAAAACAAUCCUGAAAUCCUACCUCCUACCAGUCAGAAUGGCUAAGAUCAAAAACUCAGGUGACAACAGGUGCUGGCGAGAAUAUGGAGAAAGAGGAACACUCCUCCAUUGUUGGUGAGAUUGCAAGCUGGUACAACCACUCUGGAAAUCAGUCUGGAGGUUCCUCAGAAAACUGGACACAGUACUAUUCUACUCCUGGGCAUAUACUCAAAAAGGCUCCAAUAUAUAACAAGGACACAUGCUCCACUAUGUUCAUAGCAGACUUAUUUAUAAUAGCCAGAAGCUGGAAAGAACCCAGAUGUCCUUCAACAGAGGAAUGGAUACAGAAAGUGUGGUACAUCUACACAAUGGAGUACUACUCGGCUAUAAAAAACAAU